RNAcentral lists this ribosomal RNA (399 nucleotides) under uncultured bacterium. RNAcentral describes it as "bacterial SSU rRNA". It matches the Rfam family "Bacterial small subunit ribosomal RNA", at positions 28 to 430 of the family's 1533-position model. The record is from RNAcentral.
GACGAACGCUGGCGGCGUGCUUAACACAUGCAAGUCGAGCGGUAAGGCCCUUUCGGGGGUACACGAGCGGCGAACGGGUGAGUAACACGUGGGUGACCUGCCCUCAGCUCUGGGAUAAGCCUGGGAAACCGGGUCUAAUACUGGAUAUGACUCCAUGACGCAUGUUGUGGGGUGGAAAGCCUUGUGCGGCUGAGGAUGGGCCCGCGGCCUAUCAGCUUGUUGGUGGGGUGAGGCCUACCAAGGCGACGACGGGUAGCCGGCCUGAGAGGGCGACCGGCCACACUGGGACUGAGACACGGCCCAGACUCCUACGGGAGGCAGCAGUGGGGAAUCUUGCGCAAUGGGCGAAAGCCUGACGCAGCGACGCCGCGUGAGGGAUGACGGCCUGGUGUAACGUAC